RNAcentral lists this long non-coding RNA (1986 nucleotides) under Agrilus planipennis (emerald ash borer). RNAcentral describes it as "uncharacterized LOC108733025". Lineage: Eukaryota; Metazoa; Arthropoda; Insecta; Coleoptera; Buprestidae. The record is from RNAcentral.
UCGACCCAAUUACAAUAACUUCCUAAUGGGAAGUUAAAUAUAUUUAAAUAACAUAACAUUUUUUCUCAUUUUAACGUCGAAAAGAAUAGUUUGACCUGAAAAUGUACUUGAAGUUCAUAAAUAUCUGUGUUAUCGCAAACAACGAUGAUUAAAAGAGCUCUGCUUGUGGAUGUAUAGUAUUUGUAUCUGAUGUCAUUAGUAUGGGAUAUAAAACGAAAAUUUACGAUGAAUGACUUUGAUUCACACAUGUUUAUACGAUUCUUGCCGAAGAGACGUACCUUUAACAACACAACAGAAUUGAUGUAUUGUUUUCCUCAGUCGAGGACUUAAGGAUCCGCGGGGCGUGUGUGAAACAGUAGUAUUCGGCAAUAGAUAAUUUCUUUGUUGUGGAAAGAUCGAGGAACAAUUCUGGGAUCGAGCAACAAUUCCAGGACAUUGAUCAGGAGCAGCGUUCGACACCGAUGUUAAAGGAUUCGAGACACUACGACCUAAAAGACGCGUGAGAGUCAUCAUAUCGCCGUGUUUAUAGAAUUUCUGAUGAUUGAAGAAAUGGAGGUGAAUAAGAUUUCAAAAAAAAUGGUCAACUUUGGAUAUAUUCAGUAGAUCGUAAUUUGAACUUAAAGAAAGUCUUUCCAAACUUGGAAUGGAUUCGAUGAUAACUACUGCGUUUCUAAACCAUAAUAAAGUUCUAUCGAGGAUACUAUCAAAAUUGAGGGAAAUGAUCAAGUUUGGGUGCAUUCAGUAGAUUUUAAUUUGGAGUUAAAAGAAAGGCUUUCCAAACGUAUAAUAGAUAUACGAUUGCCAUGGGACCAUUCAUUAGCAAGUCUUUCCAUUCGUGGAAUGAUUUGAUGAUAAUGGGUACAUCUCUAAACCUCGAUGAAGUUCCAUUGGGUAUGCUACCAAAAUGAAAAGGGAAUCGAUUAAUUUUGGAUACAUUCAGUAGAUUGUAAUUUGGUCUUAGAUAAAGUUAUUUCAAACGUGGAAUAGAUGAUAACUAGUGCCAUCGAGGAUGCUACCAAAAUUGAGGGAAAUGAUUAAAUUUGGGUGCAUUCAGUAGAUUUUAAUUAGGACUUAAAAAAAGGCUUUCCAAAUUUGGAAUAGAUGUACGAUUGCCAUGGGACCAUUGAUGAGCAAGAUUUUCCAGUCGUGGAAUGAUUCGAUGACGACGAGUGCGUUUCUAAACCUUGAUGGAGUUCCACAAUGGAGAGGAAUGGCCAAAUUGUGUAGUGUUCCAUUCAAACUGACAUUCCUUGGGCGUUUUUUUAAUAUAUCUUAAAUACUUAUUUGUAAAAGUGGAUUUAUUGGUGACUAGUUCGUUUUCAAAAUUCUAAUUUUCAUGUAAUCUAUAUCAAUUGCUAACUUACUUUUACUUAAUCUGUUGUCAAAUUUGUUGAUUUUUCUAGCUUGAAUUCGUACUAAUCAUUAACCACAUUUUAUUAAAUUGCCUUAAUCUAAUAAUACAUUCAAUUCUUCAUACUUGUAAAGUAUUUAAAAUACUGUACUCAAAUACAUAUAGAGUAUAUUUGUAAUUGCAUUUGAAAUACUUUUCAAUCAAUGAAAGUACUUAUUACUUGUAUUUAAAUGCAAAUUUUUCUUUAGUUUGAUUUUGCAAAUACUUUUUCAAAUAUUUUUUAUAAUUGUUAAUUUCUAUAUCUAUGCUUGUAGGCUGCACCGAACAUUUUCAAUGGAGACGGUGGUGGUUGCUUGGUAGUAUUCUUCUCAGUAGUUGAGGUCCAGACGCUCCUUAACUAGCUAGAAGAAUACUACGAAGCAACCACCACCGACUCCAUUGAAAAUGUUCGGCACAGUUUCGAACGAAACGUCUGGAAGAAAUACAAAUUCCACUAGAUCACGGCUUGUUAGUCCGGAAAAUCUUUAUCUUAUAAUUUUUCAGAAAGUUGUUUUACUAAAAUUAUAACAAUGUUAAUAUAUUUUCCUAUAGAAAAUCACAAGCUAAGUAUCUGAAUUUGUAUUUAAAUACUUUUA